RNAcentral lists this ribosomal RNA (122 nucleotides) under Megaselia abdita. The record is from RNAcentral. Lineage: Eukaryota; Metazoa; Arthropoda; Insecta; Diptera; Phoridae.
GUCAACGACCAUACCACAAUGAACACACCGGUUCUCGUCCGAUCACCGAAGUUAAGCAUUGUCGGGCGAGGUUAGUACUUGGAUGGGGGACCGCUUGGGAACACCUUGUGUUGUUGGCAUUU